Molecule: ribosomal RNA, 490 nt
Filed under: uncultured bacterium
Lineage: Bacteria
Description: partial 16S ribosomal RNA
Rfam family: Bacterial small subunit ribosomal RNA
Source: RNAcentral
GAUGAACGCUAGCGAUAGGCUUAACACAUGCAAGUCGAGGGGCAGCAUGGUCUUAGCUUGCUAAGACUGAUGGCGACCGGCGCACGGGUGCGUAACGCGUAUGCAACUUGCCUCACAGAGGGGGAUAACCCGUCGAAAGACGGACUAAUACCGCGUACACUCCAUCUUGGGCAUCCAAGGUAGAGGAAAUGAAAUUCGCUGUGAGAUAGGCAUGCGUCCCAUUAGCUAGUUGGUGAGGUAACGGCUCACCAAGGCGACGAUGGGUAGGGGAACUGAGAGGUUGAACCCCCACACUGGUACUGAGACACGGACCAGACUCCUACGGGAGGCAGCAGUGAGGAAUAUUGGUCAAUGGGCGAGAGCCUGAACCAGCCAAGUCGCGUGAAGGAUGACUGUCUUAUGGAUUGUAAACUUCUUCUAUACGGGAAUAACAAGAGUCACGUGUGACUCCCUGCAUGUACCGUAUGAAUAAGCAUCGGCUAACUCCGUG